GAUCAUGGCUCAGGACGAACGCUGGCGGCGCGCCUAACACAUGCAAGUCGAACGGGAGAUGAAGAGCUUGCUCUUCAAAUCGAGUGGCGAACGGGUGAGUAACGCGUGAGGAACCUGCCUCAAAGAGGGGGACAACAGUUGGAAACGACUGCUAAUACCGCAUAAGCCCACGGCUCGGCAUCGAGCAGGGGGAAAAGGAGCAAUCCGCUUUGAGAUGGCCUCGCGUCCGAUUAG
This 234-nucleotide ribosomal RNA is filed under the name uncultured bacterium. Its description in RNAcentral is "partial 16S ribosomal RNA". It matches the Rfam family "Bacterial small subunit ribosomal RNA", at positions 15 to 244 of the family's 1533-position model. The record is from RNAcentral.